Molecule: small RNA, 1107 nt
Filed under: Pongo abelii (Sumatran orangutan)
Lineage: Eukaryota; Metazoa; Chordata; Mammalia; Primates; Hominidae
Description: processed transcript
Source: RNAcentral
CCAGCCAAAGUUCAGGUACUGCCCCUGUCUGAGUUUGGGCAUGUGGCCCACAGAUGCCAGCUGGGGGCUGGAAUACUGUACCUUGAUCUUAGGGCCCAGAAAAAUCAGACCGAGGGACACGCAGGCACUGCUGUCUGCAACACAAGCAAUGGAGCUGCGGAGGCGAGACUACCACAUGGAACGGCCGCUGCUGAACCAGGAGCAUUUGGAGGAGCUGGGGCGCUGGGGCUCAGCACCUAGGACCCGCCAGUGGCAGACCUGGUUGCAGUGCUCCCGUGCUCGGGCCCGUGCCCUUCUACUCCAACACCUCCCGGUUUUGGUCUGGUUACCCCGGUAUCCUGUGCGUGACUGGCUCGUGGGUGACCUGUUAUCCGGCCUGAGUGUGGCCAUCAUGCAGCUUCCACAGGAUCUGCUCUCCAGGCCCGCACUGCUACCAUUCUACCCCUAGGCUUGGCCUACGCCCUCCUGGCUGGAUUGCCCCCUGUGUUUGGCCUCUAUAGCUCCUUCUACCCCGUCUUCAUCUACUUCCUGUUUGGCACUUCCCGGCACAUCUCUGUGGGGACCUUUGCUGUCAUGUCUGUGAUGGUGGGCAGUGUGACAGAAUCCCUGGCCCCGCAGGCCUUGAACGACUCCAUGAUCAAUGAGACAGCCAGAGACGCUGCCCGGGUACAGGUGGCCUCCACGCUCAGUGUCCUGGUUGGCCUCUUCCAGGUGGGGCUGGGCCUGAUCCACUUCGGCUUCGUGGUCACCUACCUGUCAGAGCCUCUUGUCCGAGGCUAUACCACAGCUGCAGCUGUGCAGGUCUUCGUCUCACAGCUCAAGUAUGUGUUUGGCCUCCAUCUGAGCAGCCACUCUGGGCCACUGUCCCUCAUCUAUGUGAGUGAGGGUGGGAGGAGGGAGGGGUAGGUGUGCCCCAUGGCCUUGAGUGCUGGCUGUGACCCGGCCUCUCCUCAGACAGUGCUGGAGGUCUGCCGGAAGCUGCCCCAGAGCAAGGUUGGCACCGUGGUCACUGCAGCUGUGGCUGGGGUGGUGCUCGUGGUGGUGAAGCUGUUGAAUGACAAGCUGCAGCAGCAGCUGCCCAUACCGAUACCCGGGGAGCUGCUCACG